CCUGUAACUCAGAUCCUGCAAAAAGUGUGACUUGCAGGCCUUCAGACCACCUGCUUGUUUCUCCCACAACAUCCGACAGAGUAAAGAGAGGACAGCGCAUGGAUCUGUGUUUGUUCUGGUAUUGGCACAGUUCCUAAACGGUUGAUGCAGGAGGAGUGCUGAUAAGUGCUAUAAGAAUUAGUUCCUUGCGUUUUGCAUAACUCCACAAUUUGGAGCUCUAAACCCUGGACCCUACUUGCCAAUCACAAGGGUGAGUGAAAAUUGUGAGUCCUGAUAUAGUACCCGCUCUGGAUGCUCAAUGCUACUGACUUGGUGAUUAUCUGCGGUUUCAUCUAGUAAUAUAGGUCCUGCCCUAUUUUUCUUUAUUUCUAAGAACGACUUUAUGUAAGGUAGCAGAGCAUAAAACCAUUUUACAUAAUGUUUAUGAUCCAGCAUUUUUUUUUUUUUUUUUUUGAUCUUGAAAGGAUUCCAAGCACAAAACUAACUUCCUCUCUAACUCCGCC
This is a non-coding RNA of Pelobates cultripes (western spadefoot toad), 503 nucleotides long. Lineage: Eukaryota; Metazoa; Chordata; Amphibia; Anura; Pelobatidae. The record is from the annotation of a GenBank genome assembly.